GUCAGGAUGGCUGAGUGGUCUAAUGACCUGUGUUCAGGUUGCAGUCUCCUCUGGAGGUGUGGGUUCAAAUCCCACUCCUGAUA
Erinaceus europaeus (western European hedgehog) is the source of this 83-nucleotide non-coding RNA. The record is from Rfam. NCBI's taxonomy places the organism in Eukaryota, Metazoa, Chordata, Mammalia, Eulipotyphla, Erinaceidae.